Molecule: long non-coding RNA, 1805 nt
Organism: Spinacia oleracea (spinach)
Lineage: Eukaryota; Viridiplantae; Streptophyta; Magnoliopsida; Caryophyllales; Amaranthaceae
Exons: 3
Source: RefSeq, a predicted model, not a curated record
AUUCUCUACAAUUUCAAAGAAGGUGUCUUCAUAAACACCCUCGAUUUCGUUCUCUUUUUCUCUCCUCUUUCAACAUUUUAUCUUCGUGUUAGAUCUAAAAAUUUCAAGCGAAAAUGAAGGAAUUUCAAUCCACACCGGUCAAGCUGAUAUCCAGGUCGAAAAUUCUUGCUGGUAGCUUUACUGUCUCGAGCAUGGUAUUCAGAAAACGUCAUUUGAACAACAGAUGAUAAUUGCUAGAAAUAUCCAGAAAGGUCCAGCCAACCAAGUGAUAAGAUUGUGAGUUAUACAUUCCCCCGUUUAUAUAUCUCGGCAUAUAUGGAAAUUCAGCACACGGUAAUAACAGGGAUUUCAUCUCCUUAUACAAAUUCAGUUAAGAUGGGUUUUUUCCGGAUAAGGUUUGAGACUUGAACUUUUUCCCCCUUGAUUAUCUUCCCUUCGAAGUUAGGUUCUUGGUAUUUGGUUGAGCUGUAAAAUCAGAAUGCAGGAUAUACUCAUAACGUUCUUUCGAGAUAGUUUUUAUCAGUGCACUAAAAAUGAGAGAGCGAGUGAUAGUAUAUCAGAUAUAGAUCAGUGUUUGUCUUCGUUUUUUUUUUGUUUUUUUACCCUUUUAACAUGUAACGACCAAAUCUAGUCGAAUUUCAUGUACUCAUUACGUAAAUUUACUUUGGUUAUUUAUCGUGUACUCAUUACGUAAAUUUACUUUGGUUAUUUUGUCCUCAGAUUUUGCCCGCCCCAAUUUUAUGCUCUCUGAACAAGCUUCAUUUUCUUGUUUUAUGAAUUUGACUUGUUCUGUUGUCAAACUUUUAGUUCAGUUUUGUACCUUAGUUUUUCCUUUUGAUUACCGAAGUCUGAACUGCAGCUUUAUCUUAGUCUUGAAUGGUCUUGUGCUUUUUGCUUAUGUAAUUGUGUUCUUAGCUUAAUGUGUAUAAAUUGUAGGCACUAUAGGUUAUCCGUGAGCUUAAGCAGAAAUUAAAAGUUCAUUUCAAAACUCUCUUUUUCCCGUAAUAAACUAAUUUCAACUGAUAUAUAGUCCUGCAUAUGUAACUAAAUUGAUACACAGGAAUGGCUCAACUGUCACUAUACUCUUUUUCUUAUCUAUGUUCUUCGUUGCAAGUACUUGACCAACGAGUUGCUUGAGGCUCCUUCAUUUCUUAUAGAAUUGUGUGGCUGUGUCACAACUGUAAAUCACAGUAUUCUUAUAUAUAACAGAUGUAUUCUUAUAGAAUUGUGUGGUUGACAGCUGCGUAAAUGACUAAAAUUUAUUUUUCAAUUGUUCAAAUUUAGGAACAUAUUUACAUAAUAUCUGCAAUCAAAUGUACAUAAUGCAUAGAUCUUCUCUGGGAGUUUGGGGUUUAUUUAUUUUACUCUAUGCAUUAUCUAUAGUAUGUUUUUGACUGGUUCAUCUAGCUAUUCUUGUUUCUUGAGGUUUUAUGUUUUUUAUUCCACUAUUUGCAUUUUUCAAGAGAUUAGUAUGAAGAUAUUGAGUUGCUUAACUUGCUUUGUACGUUUCACCAGGAGUUAAAUCAAAGAGAGCAAGAAGACUCUUUAGAUGAAGGUCUCCUUUCAGAAGUCAAUGCACAACUACGGCAAGCGAAAGAAGAUGUGGACAAUCCAGGAAGAGAGGAUGACCCUUUUUUUCACGAGUAGUAAGAGAGGAAGAGCGUCAAGGAACAAAAUGUUGCCGCUUAAGUGUUGUCCCUCCCUUUUGUAAAAAUAGAAUUGUAGAUUCAAAGAUUAUUUUUGUGUGAAUUUAUAUUGUAAAAUUACAUUAAACAGUAUUAUUUCAAUAUUAAUGUGAAUGAAGU